UACGGAGGGAGCUAGCGUUGUUCGGAAUUACUGGGCGUAAAGCGCACGUAGGCGGCUUUGUACGUUAGAGGUGAAAGCCCGGGGCUCAACUCCGGAACUGCCUUUAAGACUGCAUCGCUUGAAUCCGGGAGAGGUGAGUGGAAUUCCGAGUGUAGAGGUGAAAUUCGUAGAUAUUCGGAAGAACACCAGUGGCGAAGGCGGCUCACUGGACCGGUAUUGACGCUGAGGUGCGAAAGCGUGGGGAGCAAACAGG
This 253-nucleotide ribosomal RNA is filed under the name uncultured bacterium. RNAcentral's name for it is "partial 16S ribosomal RNA". It matches the Rfam family "Bacterial small subunit ribosomal RNA", at positions 524 to 776 of the family's 1533-position model. The record is from RNAcentral.